GUGGGGAAUCUUGCGCAAUGGGCGAAAGCCUGACGCAGCCAUGCCGCGUGAAUGAUGAAGGUCUUAGGAUUGUAAAAUUCUUUCACCGGGGACGAUAAUGACGGUACCCGGAGAAGAAGCUCCGGCUAACUUCGUGCCAGCAGCCGCGGUAAUACGAAGGGGGCUAGCGUUGCUCGGAAUUACUGGGCGUAAAGGGCGCGUAGGCGGACAGCUUAGUCAGAGGUGAAAGCCCAGGCUCAACCUUGGAAUUGCCUUUGAUACUGGCUGUCUUGAGUUUGGGAGAGGUGAGUGGAACUCCGAGUGUAGAGGUGAAAUUCGUAGAUAUUCGGAAGAACACCAGUGGCGAAGGCGACUCACUGGCCCAAUACUGACGCUGAGGCGCGAAAGCGUGGGGAGCAAACAGGAUUAGAUACCCUAGUAGUCC
This 424-nucleotide ribosomal RNA is filed under the name uncultured bacterium. RNAcentral describes it as "partial 16S ribosomal RNA". It matches the Rfam family "Bacterial small subunit ribosomal RNA", at positions 354 to 796 of the family's 1533-position model. The record is from RNAcentral.